RNAcentral lists this transfer RNA (74 nucleotides) under Marmota monax (woodchuck). RNAcentral describes it as "tRNA.Val". The stretch from base 9 to 69 matches the Rfam family "tRNA", at positions 6 to 65 of the family's 71-position model. From Rfam's summary of the family: Transfer RNA (tRNA) molecules are approximately 80 nucleotides in length. Their secondary structure includes four short double-helical elements and three loops (D, anti-codon, and T loops). Further hydrogen bonds mediate the characteristic L-shaped molecular structure. tRNAs have two regions of fundamental functional importance: the anti-codon, which is responsible for specific mRNA codon recognition, and the 3' end, to which the tRNAs corresponding amino acid is attached (by aminoacyl-tRNA synthetases). tRNAs cope with the degeneracy of the genetic code in two manners: having more than one tRNA (with a specific anti-codon) for a particular amino acid; and 'wobble' base-pairing, i.e. permitting non-standard base-pairing at the 3rd anti-codon position. Lineage: Eukaryota; Metazoa; Chordata; Mammalia; Rodentia; Sciuridae. The record is from RNAcentral.
GCUGGGGUUGUGGCUCAGUGGUAGAGCACUUGCCUCACAUGUGUGAGACACUGGGUUAGAUUCUCAGCACAGCA